Homo sapiens (human) is the source of this 2061-nucleotide long non-coding RNA. Ensembl annotates it as long intergenic non-protein coding RNA 511. The record is from Ensembl. Lineage: Eukaryota; Metazoa; Chordata; Mammalia; Primates; Hominidae.
ACUUCACCCUGGGACAUUAUGGUCGCUGGUCAGACCUCAUGACUCACUUGGACUCUUGAGCCACCUCUGGGGGUGGAGUCUCUCUCCUGGCAUCUGGACCCUUGGUGCUAUCGACGAAGCUUGGCUGGCGCUCUUAGCUGCUAUGUGCAAGACGUGUGUCCCAGGGAAAGCCCCUCUCUCUCUGCAGAGGUCAAGUGAAAGCCACGGCCGCAGCCAACAGAGUUCAAAAUGCAGGCUUGGAAAGUCCAGGGGGCUCUGUGGAGGUGAGACAGCCACAGGCUGAGCUUUCUGAGCCCUUGGGGUGCCACCUCCUGAGUCCUGGUUCCUGCGGCUCCGUCGAAUCUGCAGUGAAGGCCUUUGGGAAGCGUGGGUUAUGUGGGUCCAGGGGUCCCAUCCUCCCGUGGAGGCCCUUGACCUGAGGAUCACUAACUCACACCCCACCGACUUCCGGCCCCCAACAAGGGCAGUGUUCCUCUUGCUCCAUUCUGCUCUGAAGUCCCCCAAACCGCUUCCUGGGGCUGCUUAGUGAAAUACAAGGCUCAUCUCUGAGGACCUCUACAGGGCUGGAUGGGAAGGACUGAUCCACAUUCCCACCAGGAAGUUUAGCAGAACCCCCGCGUGCCACCUGGACCCCUUGGAAGGACCUGGCUCAGGCUGGACCACCUCUUGAGAGGCAGGAGCUCUGGAUUUGAUCAAGAAUUCUUUGCUGAGCAUGGUGCCUCAUGCCUAUAAUCCCAACACUUUGGGAGGCCAGUGUGGGAGGAUCUCUUGAGCCCAGGAGUUCAAGACUAGCCUGGGCAACACAGAGAGACCCCAUCUCUAAAAUAAUAAUAAUAAUAAAAUAAAAAAUUAGCAGGGCAUGGUGGCAUGUGCCUGUAGUCCCAGCUACCCAGGAGGCUGAGGCAAGAGGAUGGCUGGAGCCUGGGAUGUUGAGGCUGCAAUGAACUGUGAUUACCCCACUGCACUCCAGCCUGGGCAAAAGAGCGAGAGACCCUGUCUCAAAUAAUAAUAAUAAUAAUAAUCUUAUUUUGGAGAAUAAAGAGACCUCUGGAUUUGAGGUGCCAUUUGGGUAGAAAGAAAAGACGUUUACACCGAGAAAUAGUCUGUGUUGCCCUGAAGGAGCAGAGGGAUGCAUCGCUGGAGGUGACCUACAGUUGAAGAAGACUCAUUAUGACAGACCUUGUCCUUCUUCCUUGUGGAAAGUGUUUCCUCUGCUGCUACUGCUCAUGAGACUCUUCCCCCUCCCUGUCCCAGGGAACCAAAGGGCUUUCUACCACACCCUUUCUUGCCCCCCGCCUCCCAUGUCUGCUGUGCCUUUGUACUCAGCAAUUCUUGUUUGCUCCAUUAUCUUCCAGCCGGAUACAGAGUGAAUAGUUAACCACACUUAGGUCAAAUAGGAUCUAAAUUUUUGUUCCUGCUCCGUGUAAAGAGGCCAGUGUUUGUGUGUUGCAAGCAGCCUUGGAAUAGUAACUCUUCUCAUUUGUUUGGGAUCUGGCCACCAAGUUCCAGAAUGAUACACGGAUCAGUGCAGAAGUUCAUCAGGCUCUCGGACCUUAGGGCUGUUGGAGAAGGCUUCAGCAGCAGAACUGAUGGUGAAGGCUCGUGUUCUCCAUCCUCAACUUUCUUUGCUUCGAUCAUACACAAGAAUACAUUUGGAAGGGCAAAAAAUGAACACUGUCGUUCAUUGCAGCCGUGUUUUGUGACACAGAUGCACAGUCUGCUGUGAAGACCUUCUCUCAAGUGGCAUUUGGGAGUCCAUGCCAGAUCAUGGUGCUUCAUGAGAGACUGACAGCUAUCAGGGGUUGUGGCACUUAGUGAGGACUCUCCUCCCCCAGUGUGUGCUGAUGACACAUACACACCUGACAAUAGCUUGAGUCUUCUCUGUUCCUUUUACUCUGUAGCCAACAUACACAUGAUUUAAAACCCUUUCUAAAUAUCUAUCAUGGUUCAUCCUUGUCCAAAUGCAGAGUCAGAGCUAUUUGUACUUCAUUAUUAUUUCCAAGGCGAAUAGUUGGCUUUCUUUUUGCAAAAAUAAUUAAAGUUUUUGUAUGUUGCAGUUGC